UUAGAAGGUGCACGGCCCUACCUCUUCUGAGGUGCCCCUGCGGGCUGUCUACAGACCAGGCAGCACAUGCCUGAUAGCAGCUGCAUAAGGAAAAGCAGGAGCCAGCUCGUGCACAGUGGCUUCAAGUGUGCGCUGGGCAUGUUCUCUGCCUCACCAUCCCUGUGUGACAGAUGAAGCUUCAAGGACCACAGAGGGACAAGUGCAGGAGUAAGAGGCUGGCAUGCUGACAGUGGCCAAGGGCACUGGAGGGAAGGACCUGUCAUCACUGGGCCAAGGAAGGAACUCCAGACUGCCUACUUCCAGAGGGCCUGCUGAGAACCCCAAAGAGCUCUCUCAACAAACACACCCACGAGUUCCAGGAGUGAGGCUGCAGGGAACAGCCUCGCUCUCAGAGGGGAUACAGAAUUGUUCCAGUGGACAAGGGCUGGGACCGUCAUAGGAUGCCGUUGGCCCGUGGUUUCCAACAGAGGUGCAGUUCACUGAACUGUGGUCUACAGUCCAUUCUCUAACUUGGG
RNAcentral lists this long non-coding RNA (515 nucleotides) under Gorilla gorilla gorilla (western lowland gorilla). RNAcentral's name for it is "lncRNA (ENSGGOG00000044324.1)". Lineage: Eukaryota; Metazoa; Chordata; Mammalia; Primates; Hominidae. The record is from RNAcentral.